Molecule: ribosomal RNA, 408 nt
Filed under: unidentified activated sludge bacterium CL07
Lineage: Bacteria
Description: bacterial SSU rRNA
Rfam family: Bacterial small subunit ribosomal RNA
Source: RNAcentral
UGAUGUGGUUUAAUUCGAUGCAACGCGAAAAACCUUACCCACCUUUGACAUGUACGGAAGUCGCCAGAGAUGGCUUCGUGCUCGAAAGAGAGCCGUAACACAGGUGCUGCAUGGCUGUCGUCAGCUCGUGUCGUGAGAUGUUGGGUUAAGUCCCGCAACGAGCGCAACCCUUGUCAUUAGUUGCUACAUUCAGUUGGGCACUCUAAUGAGACUGCCGGUGACAAACCGGAGGAAGGUGGGGAUGACGUCAAGUCCUCAUGGCCCUUAUAGGUGGGGCUACACACGUCAUACAAUGGCUGGUACAAAGGGUUGCCAACCCGCGAGGGGGAGCUAAUCCCAUAAAGCCAGUCGUAGUCCGGAUCGUAGUCUGCAACUCGACUACGUGAAGUCGGAAUCGCUAGUAAUCGU